ACUCAAAUGAAUUGACGGGGACUUGCACAAGCAGUGGAUUAUGCGGUUUAAUUCGAUGGCAAACGAAAAACCUUACCAGGGCUAGAAAUCUAGGUGAAUACCAGAAGAAACUUUGGUAGUUCGCAAGAACAUCUAGACAGGUGAUGCAUGGCCGUCGUCAGUUCGUGGUUUGAGUUGUUCCCUUAAGUGGGGUAACGAACGCAACCCUCGUUGCCUGUUACAAGUGUCAGGCGAGACCGCCCAGCCUUCUCUAUAUUUUUUAAAGUAUGUAGAAGGCUGGGAGGAAGUGAGGAUGACGCCAGGUCAGCAUGUCCCUUUGACGUCCUGGGCUACACGCAUAAUACAAUGGUCACUACAACGGGUCGCGACGAGGUAACUCUGAGCUAAUCCUAAGAAAAGUGGCCUCAGUUCGGAUUGAGGGCUGCAACUCGACCUCAUGAAGCUGGAAUUGCUAGUAAUCGCGGGUCAGCUAUACCGCGGUGAAUACGUUCUCAAGUCUUGUACACACCGCCCGU
Molecule: ribosomal RNA, 515 nt
Filed under: uncultured bacterium
Lineage: Bacteria
Description: partial 16S ribosomal RNA
Rfam family: Bacterial small subunit ribosomal RNA
Source: RNAcentral